GCCUGACUGGCUCAGUUGGAAGAGCAUCUGACUCUUGAUCUUGGGGUUGUGAGUUUAAGCCCCAUGUUGGGUG
This 73-nucleotide transfer RNA is filed under the name Canis lupus familiaris (dog). It matches the Rfam family "tRNA". Rfam says of the family: Transfer RNA (tRNA) molecules are approximately 80 nucleotides in length. Their secondary structure includes four short double-helical elements and three loops (D, anti-codon, and T loops). Lineage: Eukaryota; Metazoa; Chordata; Mammalia; Carnivora; Canidae. RNAcentral also lists the same sequence under 2 other names. The record is from Rfam by way of RNAcentral.